GUCGUCGCUCGAUUAGCUAGUUGGUGGGGUAAUGGCCUACCAAGGCAACGAUCAGUAGCCGGCCUGAGAGGGUGAACGGCCACAUUGGGACUGAGACACGGCCCAAACUCCUACGGGAGGCAGCAG
Molecule: ribosomal RNA, 126 nt
Filed under: uncultured bacterium
Lineage: Bacteria
Description: partial 16S ribosomal RNA
Rfam family: Bacterial small subunit ribosomal RNA
Source: RNAcentral